CAUCUGCAUGAUUUCAUCUUAGCGUCAAGAAACAUCGCUGAUUGUUCUUUGGAUUUAAACGCAAGCCGUAAGCAGUAUGAUCG
Molecule: small nucleolar RNA, 83 nt
Organism: Leishmania major strain Friedlin
Lineage: Eukaryota; Euglenozoa; Kinetoplastea; Trypanosomatida; Trypanosomatidae
Source: RefSeq, a predicted model, not a curated record